CCUACGGGAGGCAGCAGUGGGGAAUUUUGCGCAAUGCUCGUAAGAGUGACGCAGCGACGCCGCGUGAAUGACGAAGGCCUUCGGGUCGUAAAGUUCUUUCGACAGGGAAGAAAAUGCCUAUAAGUAACUGUGUAUGUAUUGACGGUACCUGUAUAAGCAGCCCCGGCUAACUCCGUGCCAGCAGCCGCGGUAAUACGGAGGGGGCGAGCGUUGUUCGGAGUGACUGGGCGUAAAGAGCACGUAGGCGGUGUUGUAAGUCAUUAGUCAAAGACUAGAGCUCAACUUUAGUAAGGCUAGUGAUACUAUAAUACGAGAGUAUCAGAGAGGAUUGCAGAAUUCCUGGUGUAGCGGUGAAAUGCGUAGAUAUCAGGAGGAAUACCGUUAGCGAAGGCGGCAAUCUGGCUGGAAACUGACGCUAAGGUGCGAAAGCGUGGGUAGCAAACAGGAUUAGAUACCCCAGUAGUC
Molecule: ribosomal RNA, 465 nt
Filed under: uncultured bacterium
Lineage: Bacteria
Description: partial 16S ribosomal RNA
Rfam family: Bacterial small subunit ribosomal RNA
Source: RNAcentral